GAUGAACGCUGGCGGCGUGCCUAAUACAUGCAAGUCGAGCGAACGGACGAGAAGCUUGCUUCUCUGAUGUUAGCGGCGGACGGGUGAGUAACACGUGGAUAACCUACCUAUAAGACUGGGAUAACUUCGGGAAACCGGAGCUAAUACCGGAUAACAUUUUGAACCGCAUGAUUCAAAAGUGAAAGACGGUCUUGCUGUCACUUAUAGAUGGAUCCGCGCUGCAUUAGCUAGUUGGUAAGGUAACGGCUUACCAAGGCAACGAUGCAUAGCCGACCUGAGAGGGUGAUCGGCCACACUGGAACUGAGACACGGUCCAGACUCCUACGGGAGGCAGCAGUAGGGAAUCUUCCGCAAUGGGCGAAAGCCUGACGGAGCAACGCCGCGUGAGUGAUGAAGGUCUUCGGAUCGUAAAACUCUGUUAUUAGGGAAGAACAUAUGUGUAAGUAACUGUGCACAUCUUGACGGUACCUAAUCAGAAAGCCACGGCUAACUACGUGCCAGCAGCCGCGGUAAUACGUAGGUGGCAAGCGUUAUCCGGAAUUAUUGGGCGUAAAGCGCGCGUAGGCGGUUUUUUAAGUCUGAUGUGAAAGCCCACGGCUCAACCGUGGAGGGUCAUUGGAAACUGGAAAACUUGAGUGCAGAAGAGGAAAGUGGAAUUCCAUGUGUAGCGGUGAAAUGCGCAGAGAUAUGGAGGAACACCAGUGGCGAAGGCGACUUUCUGGUCUGUAACUGACGCUGAUGUGCGAAAGCGUGGGGAUCAAACAGGAUUAGAUACCCUGGUAGUCCACGCCGUAAACGAUGAGUGCUAAGUGUUAGGGGGUUUCCGCCCCUUAGUGCUGCAGCUAACGCAUUAAGCACUCCGCCUGGGGAGUACGACCGCAAGGUUGAAACUCAAAGGAAUUGACGGGGACCCGCACAAGCGGUGGAGCAUGUGGUUUAAUUCGAAGCAACGCGAGGAACCUUACCAAAUCUUGACAUCCUUUGACAACUCUAGAGAUAGAGCCUUCCCCUUCGGGGGACAAAGUGACAGGUGGUGCAUGGUUGUCGUCAGCUCGUGUCGUGAGAUGUUGGGUUAAGUCCCGCAACGAGCGCAACCCUUAAGCUUAGUUGCCAUCAUUAAGUUGGGCACUCUAAGUUGACUGCCGGUGACAAACCGGAGGAAGGUGGGGAUGACGUCAAAUCAUCAUGCCCCUUAUGAUUUGGGCUACACACGUGCUACAAUGGACAAUACAAAGGGCAGCGAAACCGCGAGGUCAAGCAAAUCCCAUAAAGUUGUUCUCAGUUCGGAUUGUAGUCUGCAACUCGACUACAUGAAGCUGGAAUCGCUAGUAAUCGUAGAUCAGCAUGCUACGGUGAAUACGUUCCCGGGUCU
Molecule: ribosomal RNA, 1372 nt
Filed under: uncultured bacterium
Lineage: Bacteria
Description: bacterial SSU rRNA
Rfam family: Bacterial small subunit ribosomal RNA
Source: RNAcentral